This 74-nucleotide small nuclear RNA is filed under the name Caenorhabditis brenneri. Its description in RNAcentral is "snRNA CBN34296". The record is from RNAcentral. Lineage: Eukaryota; Metazoa; Nematoda; Chromadorea; Rhabditida; Rhabditidae.
GGCUCGUCUGCUUUGACCUGAAGACAUUCAGCGUCAGCUAUAAAUUUUGGAACGUCUCCUUUAGGGGAGACAAA